RNAcentral lists this non-coding RNA (26 nucleotides) under Homo sapiens (human). The record is from RNAcentral. Lineage: Eukaryota; Metazoa; Chordata; Mammalia; Primates; Hominidae.
UAUCUGCCUUGCACAUGAAAACACUG